CCUACGGGUGGCAGCAGUAGGGAAUCUUUCACAAUGGGCGAAAGCCUGAUGGAGCAACGCCGCGUGCAGGAUGAAGGCCUUCGGGUUGUAAACUGCUUUUAUAAGCGAGAAAUAUGAUGGUACCUUAUGAAUAAGGAUCGGCUAACUACGUGCCAGCAGCCGCGGUCAUACGUAGGAGCCGAGCAUUAUCCGGAGUGACUGGGUGUAAAGAGUUGCGUAGGUGGCAUAAUAAGUAGCUAGUGAAAUCUGGUGGCUCAACCAUUCAGACUAUUAGCUAAACUGUUAAGCUCGAGACCGUUAGGAGUAACUGGAAUGUGUAGUGUAGGAGUGAAAUCCGUAGAUAUUAGAAGGAACACCAAUAGCGUAGGCAGGUUGCUGGGACGGUUCUGACACUAAGGCACGAAAGCGUAGGGAGCAAACGGGAUUAGAUACCCCUGUAGUC
This 442-nucleotide ribosomal RNA is filed under the name uncultured bacterium. RNAcentral's name for it is "partial 16S ribosomal RNA". It matches the Rfam family "Bacterial small subunit ribosomal RNA", at positions 338 to 795 of the family's 1533-position model. The record is from RNAcentral.